This 85-nucleotide transfer RNA is filed under the name Jiangella asiatica. RNAcentral describes it as "Jiangella sp. 5K138 tRNA-Leu". It matches the Rfam family "tRNA". Rfam says of the family: Transfer RNA (tRNA) molecules are approximately 80 nucleotides in length. Their secondary structure includes four short double-helical elements and three loops (D, anti-codon, and T loops). Further hydrogen bonds mediate the characteristic L-shaped molecular structure. tRNAs have two regions of fundamental functional importance: the anti-codon, which is responsible for specific mRNA codon recognition, and the 3' end, to which the tRNAs corresponding amino acid is attached (by aminoacyl-tRNA synthetases). tRNAs cope with the degeneracy of the genetic code in two manners: having more than one tRNA (with a specific anti-codon) for a particular amino acid; and 'wobble' base-pairing, i.e. permitting non-standard base-pairing at the 3rd anti-codon position. Lineage: Bacteria; Bacillati; Actinomycetota; Actinomycetes; Jiangellales; Jiangellaceae. The record is from RNAcentral.
GCGGGAGUGGCGGAAAUGGUAGACGCGUCAGGUUUAGGUCCUGGUGUCCUCGGACGUAGGGGUUCAAGUCCCCUCUCCCGCACUA